AACACGUGAUAUUUUGACUGAAACUGGGGGGGACCACCCUCCAAUCCUAAAAUACUACUUACAGAUCGAUAGUGAACAAGUACCGUGAGGGAAAAGGUGAAAAGUACUCCAGCGAGGAGAGUGAAAUAGAACCUGAAACCAUUAGCUUACAAUCAUUCAGAGCCCUAUGAUUUAUCAGGGUGAUGGACUGCCUUUUGCAUAAUGAGCCUGCGAGUUGUGGUGUCUGGCAAGGUUAAGUCAAGUACGAAGCCGUAGCGAAAGCGAGUCUUAAUAGGGCGAAUUAGUCAGAUGCUGCAGACCCGAAACGAAGUGAUCUAUCCAUGAGCAGGUUGAAGCUGGUGUAAGAGCCAGUGGAGGACCGAACCCGCAGGCGUUGAAAAGUCUUGGGAUGACUUGUGGAUAGGGGUGAAAGGCCAAUCAAACUUCGUGAUAGCUGGUUCUCUCCGAAAUAUAUUUAGGUAUAGCCUUGUGUUGUAGCAUAUAGGGGUAGAGCACUGAAUGGGCUAGGGCU
Molecule: ribosomal RNA, 511 nt
Filed under: uncultured bacterium
Lineage: Bacteria
Description: bacterial LSU rRNA
Rfam family: Bacterial large subunit ribosomal RNA
Source: RNAcentral